This 23-nucleotide non-coding RNA is filed under the name Cricetulus griseus (Chinese hamster). Lineage: Eukaryota; Metazoa; Chordata; Mammalia; Rodentia; Cricetidae. The record is from RNAcentral.
UGGUGACCUCCCGGGAGCGGGGA